GCGUCCGGUGAUUUAGCGACUGCCCGCCUUCUAAGCGGUUGGCCGCAGGUUCGAACCCUGCUGGGCGCGC
This 70-nucleotide transfer RNA is filed under the name Dictyobacter aurantiacus. Its description in RNAcentral is "tRNA-Arg". The record is from RNAcentral. Lineage: Bacteria; Bacillati; Chloroflexota; Ktedonobacteria; Ktedonobacterales; Dictyobacteraceae.